CAGCCGCCGCGGUAAUACCGGCGGCCCGAGUGGCGGCCACUAUUAUUGGGCUUAAAGCGUCCGUAGCCGGGUUGGUUAGUCUCCCGGGAAAUCUGGCCGCUUAACGGUCAGAAUUCCGGGAGAUACUGCCAGCCUAGGGACCGGGAGAGGCCGAGGGUAUUCCCAGAGUAGGGGUGAAAUCCUAUAAUCCCGGGAGGACCACCUGUGGCGAAGGCGCUCGGCUGGAACGGGUCCGACGGUGAGGGACGAAGGCCAGGGGAGCAAACCGGAUUAGAUACCCGGGUAGUCCUGGCUGUAAACGAUGCGGACUUUGUGUCGGACAAGCUAUGAGCUUGUCCGGUGCCGGAGGGAAACCGUUUAGUCCGCCGCCUGGGGAGUACGGCCGCAAGGCUGAAACUUAAAGGAAUUGGCGGG
This 414-nucleotide ribosomal RNA is filed under the name uncultured microorganism. Its description in RNAcentral is "bacterial SSU rRNA". It matches the Rfam family "Archaeal small subunit ribosomal RNA", at positions 459 to 872 of the family's 1478-position model. The record is from RNAcentral.